RNAcentral lists this ribosomal RNA (440 nucleotides) under uncultured bacterium. RNAcentral's name for it is "partial 16S ribosomal RNA". It matches the Rfam family "Bacterial small subunit ribosomal RNA", at positions 338 to 795 of the family's 1533-position model. The record is from RNAcentral.
CCUACGGGUGGCAGCAGUGGGGAAUAUUGCACAAUGGGGGAAACCCUGAUGCAGCGACGCCGCGUGAGUGAAGACGUAUUUCGGUAUGUAAAGCUCUGUCAGCAGGGAAGAAAAUGACGGUACCUGAACAAGAAGCCCAGGCUAACUACGUGCCAGCAGCCGCGGUAAUACGUAGGGGGCAAGCGUUAUCCGGAUUUACUGGGUGUAAAGGGAGCGUAGACGGCAGGGCAAGUCUGGAGUGAAAGGCGGGGGCUCAACCCCCGGACUGCUCUGGAAACUGCCAGGCUGGAGUGCAGGAGAGGUAAGUGGAAUUCCGAGUGUAGCGGUGAAAUGCGUAGAUAUUAGGAGGAACACCAGUGGCGAAGGCGGCUUACUGGACUGUAACUGACGUUGAGGCUCGAAAGCGUGGGGAGCAAACAGGAUUAGAUACCCCUGUAGUC